UACGAAGGGGGCUAGCGUUGCUCGGAAUCACUGGGCGUAAAGCGCACGUAGGCGGAUUGCUAAGUCAGGGGUGAAAUCCUGGAGCUCAACUCCAGAACUGCCUUUGAUACUGGCAACCUUGAGUCCGGGAGGGGUGAGUGGAACUGCGAGUGUAGAGGUGAAAUUCGUAGAUAUUCGCAAGAACACCAGUGGCGAAGGCGGCUCACUGGCCCGGUACUGACGCUGAGGUGCGAAAGCGUGGGGAGCAAACAGG
This 253-nucleotide ribosomal RNA is filed under the name uncultured bacterium. Its description in RNAcentral is "partial 16S ribosomal RNA". It matches the Rfam family "Bacterial small subunit ribosomal RNA", at positions 524 to 776 of the family's 1533-position model. The record is from RNAcentral.